This 714-nucleotide long non-coding RNA is filed under the name Phoenix dactylifera (date palm). Its description in RNAcentral is "long non-coding RNA (PDAC_LNC017957)". Lineage: Eukaryota; Viridiplantae; Streptophyta; Magnoliopsida; Arecales; Arecaceae. The record is from RNAcentral.
GCAACCCCAUUCCCUGCAAUGGUGGAACCCCCCCACACUCUCAAGUGGAUUGACUUGGGCCCUAAUUUGUUCUUUUUGGGUUGAGUCUGUCUAGGCUUGGCUUUGAGGAGCCAAGAUGGGCUUCGAUCGGAUAUUUGAGGCUUGAAGCUCGGCUCGUCCUGGGCAUAGGCUCUUGAUCCCAUGCUUAGGCCCAGCUUGGUCAAUGCUUAGGUCUACCUAGUAUGCUAUUUUUUAGGUGCUCAACUGAGUACCAAUGAGCAAAAAAUGUAUAUAUAUGGUGGUUAUAAUGAUAUAUUGAUAAUUGGAUUAGGAAAUAUAUUUUUGCCUACCAUAUAAUUAUAGUAAAAAGGUAGGGAAACUACACUCCUUGAUUGACUAUCCUCAAUAGUCAGAAGCGGGUGUGGUGCAAGAAUGCGCCAAGGUUUGAAAACUUUGAGAGUGGAAAUGCUUAGAAAGUGUCCGCAUAAAUUUAUAUAUUGAAAGUUAUUAAAAAUUUACGAUUAUAAAUUUAGCCUUUUCUUUUGUGUUUAGAAUGAUUAGCCUGUAGAGAUUUCUAAAAUACAUUAGAAAUUGAUUCAUCACAUCUAUCCUUUUUUUCUCAACUUGUGUCUAGUCCAUAAUUAAAGGUGAUAUGUACCACUCUAUCUCUUCCCAUGUAAACCCAAUGAUGGGGCUUACCCCUUUGAGAAAACAUGGCCCGAUAGCCAAGUCCCU